GACGAACGCUGGCGGCGUGCUUAACACAUGCAAGUCGAACGGAAAGGCCCUGCUUUUGUGGGGUGCUCGAGUGGCGAACGGGUGAGUAACACGUGAGUAACCUGCCCUUGACUUUGGGAUAACUUCAGGAAACUGGGGCUAAUACCGGAUAGGAGCUCCUGCUGCAUGGUGGGGGUUGGAAAGUUUCGGCGGUUGGGGAUGGACUCGCGGCUUAUCAGCUUGUUGGUGGGGUAGUGGCUUACCAAGGCUUUGACGGGUAGCCGGCCUGAGAGGGUGACCGGCCACAUUAGGACUGAGAUACGGCUCAGACUCCUACGGGAGGCAGCAGUGGGGAAUAUUGCACAAUGGGCGGAAGCCUGAGGCAGCAACGCCGCGUGCGGGAUGACGGCCUUCGGGUUAUAAACCGCUUUCGCCUGUGACGAAGCGUGAGUGACGGUAAUGGGUAAAGAAGCACCGGCUAACUACGUG
This 468-nucleotide ribosomal RNA is filed under the name uncultured bacterium. RNAcentral's name for it is "partial 16S ribosomal RNA". It matches the Rfam family "Bacterial small subunit ribosomal RNA", at positions 28 to 507 of the family's 1533-position model. The record is from RNAcentral.